Molecule: ribosomal RNA, 770 nt
Filed under: Schwanniomyces polymorphus
Lineage: Eukaryota; Fungi; Ascomycota; Pichiomycetes; Serinales; Debaryomycetaceae
Description: partial 28S ribosomal RNA
Source: RNAcentral
GCAGUCCUCGGUCUAGACAGGCAGUAUCAACAAGGGCUAUAACACUUUACCGAAGCAAAGUCACAUUCCCAAGUCAUUAUCCUACCAUCCAAACCGAUGCUGGCCCAGUAAACUGCAGGGGACCCCACCACGAAGGUAAGGCUUGCAAAAUACCAAGUCUGAUCUCAAGCCCUUCCCUUUCAACAAUUUCACGUACUUUUUCACUCUCUUUUCAAAGUUCUUUUCAUCUUUCCAUCACUGUACUUGUUCGCUAUCGGUCUCUCGCCAAUAUUUAGCUUUAGAUGGAAUUUACCACCCACUUAGAGCUGCAUUCCCAAACAACUCGACUCUUCGAAAGCACUUUACAUAGAAUUGGGCAUCUCAUCGCACGGGAUUCUCACCCUCUGUGACGUCCUGUUCCAAGGAACAUAGACAAGAGCCAACUCCAAAGUUACCUUCUUCAAAUUACAACUCGGACACCGAAGGUGCCAGAUUUCAAAUUUGAGCUUUUGCCGCUUCACUCGCCGUUACUGAGGCAAUCCCUGUUGGUUUCUUUUCCUCCGCUUAUUGAUAUGCUUAAGUUCAGCGGGUAGUCCUACCUGAUUUGAGGUCAAACUUGUUUGUUGUAUUGUAAGGCCGAGCCAAUAAUACUAAAAAUUUACUACUAAACCAUUCAACGAGUUGGAUAAACCUAAUACAUUGAAAAAGUCUUGAAGUACUAUUCAGUACUACUCAUGCCGAUACAUUUCAAGCAAACGCCUAGUUCGACUAAGAGUAUCACUCAAUACCAA